AUUACCUGAUAACUAGGGGAUACUCUUCCCCCAAGCUGGAUGUUUGUAAUACUUGGUGUUGAUGUCCUUUAUGGUUGUGAGACAUGACACUUGUGCUUUAUGAUGAUAUUAUAUAUGUCAUGUGUUUUUGGCUCAUAUUGUAUUGCUUCCGUAUUUCUACUCCGAUAUCCUAUGAGCCAUAUGUUGUUAUAUUCUGUUGUACACAUCUCACAUAUUUGGAUGCAGGAUAUUAGGCUUGGUUGAUAUAAGCAUGACUAAUCCUUUUUUGAUCUUAUUGUCAAAUGCUUAUAGAAACCAAGUCAUUUGAAAACCUCACUUUAAACAUACUCGAGGUUAUUGUCAUCAAUCAACAAAAAGGUGGAGAUUGAAAGCAUCUAGGCGUCUAAUGAGUUUCGGUGAUUAAUGACAAUGUUGAUUACUAUGACUAACUUAUGUUUUGCAGAGGCAAAGUCAUCUAUGUUAGCUAAUGGUAAUGGUGAUCAAUGGACUAGAUCAUUCGUGUAACACCC
RNAcentral lists this long non-coding RNA (509 nucleotides) under Sorghum bicolor (sorghum). RNAcentral describes it as "long non-coding RNA (SBIC_LNC014430)". Lineage: Eukaryota; Viridiplantae; Streptophyta; Magnoliopsida; Poales; Poaceae. The record is from RNAcentral.